CCGGCCAGGCCGUGGACUGUGGUUUAAUUCGAAGCAACGCGCAGAACCUUACCAGCUCUUGACAUUCGGGGUAUGGGCAUUGGAGACGAUGUCCUUCAGUUAGGCUGGCCCCAGAAGAGGUGCUGCAUGGCUGCCCUCAGCUCGUGUCGUGAGAUGUUGGGUUAAGUCCCGCAACGAGCGCAACCCUCGCCCUUAGUUGCCAGCAUUUAGUUGGGCACUCUAAGGGGACUGCCGGUGAUAAGCCGAGAGGAAGGUGGGGAUGACGUCAAGUCCUCAUGGCCCUUACGGGCUGGGCUACACACGUGCUACAAUGGUGGUGACAGUGGGCAGCGAGACAGCGAUGUCGAGCUAAUCUCCAAAAGCCAUCUCAGUUCGGAUUGCACUCUGCAACUCGAGUGCAUGAAGUUGGAAUCGCUAGUAAUCGCAGAUCAGCAUGCUGCGGUGAAUACGUUCCCGGGCCUUGUACACACCGCCCGUCACACCAUGGGAGUUGGUUU
RNAcentral lists this ribosomal RNA (497 nucleotides) under Bradyrhizobium sp. DASA 64011. Its description in RNAcentral is "bacterial SSU rRNA". It matches the Rfam family "Bacterial small subunit ribosomal RNA", at positions 921 to 1417 of the family's 1533-position model. The record is from RNAcentral. Lineage: Bacteria; Pseudomonadati; Pseudomonadota; Alphaproteobacteria; Hyphomicrobiales; Nitrobacteraceae.